RNAcentral lists this ribosomal RNA (618 nucleotides) under uncultured bacterium. Its description in RNAcentral is "bacterial SSU rRNA". The stretch from base 1 to 518 matches the Rfam family "Bacterial small subunit ribosomal RNA", at positions 338 to 873 of the family's 1533-position model. The record is from RNAcentral.
CCUACGGGAGGCAGCAGUGGGGAAUCUUGCGCAAUGGGCGAAAGCCUGACGCAGCCAUGCCGCGUGAAUGAUGAAGGUCUUAGGAUUGUAAAAUUCUUUCACCGGGGACGAUAAUGACGGUACCCGGAGAAGAAGCCCCGGCUAACUUCGUGCCAGCAGCCGCGGUAAUACGAAGGGGGCUAGCGUUGCUCGGAAUUACUGGGCGUAAAGGGAGCGUAGGCGGAUAGUUUAGUCAGAGGUGAAAGCCCAGGGCUCAACCUUGGAAUUGCCUUUGAUACUGGCUAUCUUGAGUAUAGGAGAGGUAUGCGGAACUCCGAGUGUAGAGGUGAAAUUCGUAGAUAUUCGGAAGAACACCAGUGGCGAAGGCGGCAUACUGGCCCAUUACUGACGCUGAGGCUCGAAAGCGUGGGGAGCAAACAGGAUUAGAUACCCUGGUAGUCCACGCUGUAAACGAUGAGUGCUAGUUGUCGGCAUGCAUGCAUGUCGGUGACGCAGCUACGCAUAAGACGACGUCCGCCGUCGGGUAGGUACGGUCGGCGAAGUAAGUUAAACGUUAAAGGUUAAAGUUAGUUACGGCGUGAGGACGUUGCCGACGGACGACGACGAGGGGAGGUUAGG